Molecule: long non-coding RNA, 535 nt
Organism: Arachis ipaensis
Lineage: Eukaryota; Viridiplantae; Streptophyta; Magnoliopsida; Fabales; Fabaceae
Source: RefSeq, a predicted model, not a curated record
AGAUCAAGAUUAAUUUUCAUACCAGGAAAAUUAAAUACAUAAUAACUAGUACCGAAACAAUGCCAAUAUAAAAAAAAGUAUUCUUCGUCCAAGUUGAUCUACAACUUCGACUCUGGAGGAGGCCAAAGAAGAGGCAAGAACGAGGCCAAGGAGGAGAGCGGAGACCAAUCAUUUUGUCUCUAUAGCGGUGGGUGAAGGAAGAAGAUCUGUUCCUGCAAAGAUGCCAACAGAUCAUGCCUUGUUUUAUGCCAGUGACAUUUUGAGGCAGAACAGAUCAGCAAUAAAUAAUGUGAAAUUGGAUUCCAUGGUAGACUCAUGAAAGCUUAUAAGCAAGGACCCGAAUGGUGGUCCAUGGUAGACUCAUGAAAGCUUAGAAGCAAGCAUCUUGGCAUUGUUUGUCGGCACUUUUGCAGGAGCAAGUCUUCGUCCUACAGCCACCGCUGCAGGGACAAAAUGGUCGGUCUUCUCCUUAGCCUCCUCCUUGGCCUCCUCCUUGACUUCUUCAUUGGCAUCAACAGCAAGGCUUUUUUUUUUU